Molecule: long non-coding RNA, 9451 nt
Organism: Manis pentadactyla (Chinese pangolin)
Lineage: Eukaryota; Metazoa; Chordata; Mammalia; Pholidota; Manidae
Exons: 5
Source: RefSeq, a predicted model, not a curated record
AUUCCUGCCUAAAAAGUACAGCUCGUGCAGUCACUCGGUUUAUAAGCCUCCUGGAGAAGAUAAAGAGGGGAGUAUGGUAAUUUAAUGAUCCUCCUACUCUAAAUCAUCCUUGAAAACGUCCAUAGCUUCAUUUUCUCCAUUUCACAACGAAUAAGCCCCAGAGGAAUGAACUUCCUGUUUAUGCUGUGGUUCCCAGGAAAGAGGAGCAAAUGUACAGGCAGCUAAUUAAACCCUUCAGUGGAGGAGGGCUGAUUACAAAUGGCAUAUAGUGAAAAAGUAUUUAGCUUUCGUUUUUGCUGGAGAGGAAAAUAUUUCAAAAUAAUUUAAUGUUUGUACUCCUACCUGCUACUUUUGCUCAAGUCUCGAGACAAUCCCAGAGGAAUGGAGAAUUAGAAGAAAGGCUUCUCCCUUUGGGACAAGGACUUUUUGGUAAACACUUGUCGGCUCUGGUUUCAGAUUGCAUCAGUUCAGGAACUAAUUCCAGGCCCAAAACUGAGAACAAACUUUGACUUGAUUUUUAAAUUACUUUGAGAAUAGAUGAGAGUUUCCAGAUUCUGGUUUUAGAAUGUUGAAUUUCACUUUCCAAGGAAACUGGCUUAUUCUGGCUUUCUCAAGCAUAUUCUGUAUAAGUGUAUCAUCCUCUUCUUUGGAAGGAAUUUCUAAUCCUAAAUUUUCUUCCAUUAAUUACUUAUGAUCAUAUCACCUCCAGCAGAACUAUUAUAAUCGGGUGAAUUUUCCUCUGCUGUUUAAAGGAUAGUUGCAGGUCUUCUCUUUUUCAGGAAGUGACCCCAGGAAUUGAUUCAUAACAAGAGAUCCACCAGAGAUUUUAUAUAUUUGGGCUGUGGUGGCAGACCAGUUACAUCUCAGCACUUGAUAUCCACAUCUCUGAGAUAUUCAAAGCCAUUUAUGUUUCCCUGUAAAAUGUGUCCAGAAACAAAGUGACUUUCUGUCACCCCACCUUUCCUGUAAAGAUUGGCUUCUUGAUGGAGAGUUGGACUGCUUUUCUGUUGGAAGAAGAUUCCACAUAUGAGUGAUUUAUUUCACUUAGAAUAAUGCCUUCUAGGUCUAUCCAUUUUGUCACAAAUGUCAAUAUUUCCUUCUUUAAUGGCUGAGUAAUACUCCUUUGUUUAUAUGUACCAUCUCUUCUUUAUCCAUUCAUCUAUUGAUGGACACUUUGGUUGCUUCCAUAUCUUGGCUAUUGUAGAUAAUACUACAAUAAACAGGAUCACAUGUUCAAAUUAAUGAUUCUGUUUUCUUUGGGUAAAUUCCCACAAGUAGAAUUGCUGGAUCAUAUGGUAUUUCUAGUUUUAGUUUUUUGAAAAACCUCCAUACUGCUUUCCACAGUGGCUGCACCAAUUUACAUUCCUGUUAGUAGUUACGGAGUUCCCUUUCUCCACAUCCUCACCAACACUUGUUAUUUCUUGUUUUGUUGCUAUGAGCCAUUCUGACUAGAGUGAGGUGACCUCUCAUUGUGGUUUUGCCUUUCCCUGAUGAUUAGUGAUAUUGAGCAUCUUUUCAUGUAUUGGUUAGCCAUCAGCAUAACUUCUUUGGAAAAGUGUCUCAGGUCCUCUGCUCAGUUUUUUAAUUGGAUUAUUUGGGGUGUUUUGAUGUUGAGUUGUAAGAGUUCCUUAUAUAUUUUAGAUAUUAGUCCCUUAUCAGAUAUCAUUAACAAAUAUAUUUUUCCACUCAUUAGGUUGUCUUUUUGUUUUGUUUAUAGUUUCCUCUGCUGUUUGCCAGGUAUUUUAUAUGAAUGUUAGGCUCAGCUAGGUUAGGGAAGAGUAGGGUCUUGACAAAUGGAAUAGUGAUAUAUGAGAGAAAUCAAGGCUUAGAAAACCCCAGACUCCUACAUUUACCUAAAACAGAAUUCUCAACCAUGAUACCAUUAACAUUUUGGACUGGGUAGUUUUUGUUUUGGGGGCGCUGCUGUGUGCAUUGUUAGAGCUUCAGCAGCAUCCUUGGGUUCUACCCACCAGGUGUCAGUGACAUCCCAUCCUGAGUCAUGGCAAUCAAAAAUGUUUCCAGAUAUUGCCAAAUAUUCCCCUAAGUUAGGCAUGGAGGAAAUUGCCUCUGGCUUGAGAAAUACUGGUCUAAAGUUCUACCUGUUGGGCAAUCAUUGCUUGAGGAAACCAUGACUCAUUGAGAAGGAAAACCAAGAAGUUGUUCCAUGCCCCAUCUCACAAUUGCUUAUUUGGUAACCAGAAUUCAGACUUAACAUGUCUCAGAAGGCAAAAUAUAGGAUCAAAGUAGGGAAGCUUAAGUGUUGCAUCCACAAGAAUUAUAGGAAUUUGAUAACAUAUGUCAUGAAAAUAUGGGGAAUAUUUGUAGGAAUGAUUUCAGAGUGUUUUACCAAGGAAAAAAUGGAAAUGAAAAUUUUAGACUAAGCUAAAUUAAUUGAUAAGAUUGCCCUCGCCAGAGAUUUGGCAGUCAGUGUGUUUGCUUGGGCAGACAGCUGUAGUUCUAACAAUGUACUGAGCUGGCUAAUCCCAAAUAGCACUGAAAAGCCAGAAAGAAUUUUGUUUAAGUAGGGAUAAAGAUUAGAUUUAUCAUGCAGUCUACCUAUGCAUCCCUCAUAUGUCUUUUGAUAUAUUCCAGAACACUCUCAGUUUAGCUUUACCACAAGGAAUGGAUUAGUAAAGGGGGUGUCAGAAUCUUUAAAAAGCACUUUACUGGCUGCUCUUUCUAGGCUGAGAAUGUGGAUGGGAAGGGCUACAUUUGAAAUGAGAUUCCUAAUCUUAGAAGGGGUGGCAGAGCCCUGUGACACAAAUGAACAAGUAAUGAGCGUGGUUAUCAAAUUGCAGGGUGAAUGAUCAAGUCCCAGGGAGUUAAUUUAUUGAAAUUUAUUUUAGACUGUGGGAGUAAUAGGUGACUAUUUCUUAUUGUUAAAAAUUCAAGCAAAAUAGAUAAAGCAAACCUUUCUUAGACUUCUCUCUUCUAAUCCCUUUUGCUUUCAUGAAAUGCUCACCAGAAAUUCUCCUCUGUACAAGAGGCUCUUGAUACUAAGAUGUUCAGGAUAGCUCACUAUAUAAAUGCCAGUUCUCUUCUAUCUCCAGCCAGCCCAGUGCUUCCUGGAUGGGCUUGUCAACUCAGUGGCCCUGGUGUCAGUGAUGAAGGUUAUGCAUGAGCUUUGACACCAUGGACAUUCCUUCUCCAAGCUGCCCUAGUCCAUGCCAUUGCUGAGGACUCAGUUUGUCAGCAACAGCAACCAGUUCUGAGUACUGGACUUAGCAUUACACCUCUAGGCAUCUAGCCAGUUCUCUGUUGGCAGAUAUAUUACAGUGGAUCCCUUCUAUGUUGGGAAGGGGGGAGCAACAAUUUUAGAUCUCAUCUAGUGACUUCCCUUGUGAUAGAUGAGGAUUUAUUUCUCUUGCUGCCAUCCUCUCUGCUUCUUUUCUCUGUCCUCUCAACGUAAUUUUUGGUUGAGUAAAUAUUGUUACAUUAUACCUAGGUAAAUAUUAUUCAUAGCCAAACAUCCUAUGUAGUGUGAUAUUACUUUUUUUUUUUCCUCUUCCUGAGGUUAAAAACUGCUUAUUUAAAAUUUCUUCUUAUGUUUCUUUGCAUCUGUUGCAACUUAAAUAGCCUUUUAGUACAAUUUUGUGUGUCCUGGGACAAAUACUAAUGGAGGUCUACAUACCACAUGUCUAAAUAUUUAAAAAUUUAUAAUUCAAACUACUAAAGAAAAAUCUCUUUUCUUCUCUUGUCAAAAUAAAACUGGAAAUUAUCUCAAGUUGUGGUUUUUAUAUGACUGAAAGUUUGUGGAUUAUCAAUUGAAUUUAAUUUUGAGUGCAAAUGAAUGAGUUAGUGAUAUUUGGAUGAGUACUAAAGGCUUGCAAAACUAACAAAUUGUUAUGUUCUUUUCUAUAAAUUUGUCUUAAUUUCAGCAAAAUGUUGCACUGAAACCUCACAUAAGGUUGAUUUACUGACAAUAAUGCCAAUUAGACCUUUCUUGGGUCAUUGUAGACCUUACUUUUCCUUUAAAACAUUCAAAAUAAUCUAUUAAAUUUAAAAGGCAAGAUAUUAACUAUACAGUAAAUUAAAAUUUCUAAAAUGUUUAAGGUUGGAAGUUUUAAUUUAAUAUUUGAAUUUUUAAUUAAAUCAUACAAAACAUUUUAUGAAAGUAAAACUGAUUACAAUUCUAGAAUCAGAAUCCAUUUGUCAGUGUAAAACACACAUAUAGACACAUCAAGACAUAAUACAGACUUAGAAAUAAUGUGAAUUACUUGAUAUUACAAAAUGUUUCUCAGCUGCCACAUAAAAUAGUGUUCAAUAGCACGGUAAUUAGUGAAUAUCACUGGAUACUCCAACUGGAAUUUGGAAUGAAGUGAAAAAAAAAAAGGCCAUCCAUGCUCUGAGACUUUAAUAUACAAGGGUCUAUUUCAUUCAUGCUCUCAGAGAGGGAUUUGCCAAACUAAUUAAUUUGUGUUUUCUCUUACCACUGUACUUCUACUGUUCAGAUUCUGUCUGUAGUAAAGUCUGUCUCUGACAGCAGAAGCAAAACCCAUACUCCUACACAGCACUCAGGGCAGUCACCUUUUAUUUUGAGGAGAAAGGAGGAAAAGAGCAAGAGAUGUGGAGGAGCUAAAUGAAGUUAGUGUCACAAAAGGACACAUUUAAGGUUACGGAUUGCACUGUGGCAGCGCUGAGUGCCAGGUCUUGAGUGACAAUGAUACCCAUGGGUUCUUACAUACAUUUGUUCUCUUUCUCUGAUAUGUAGGGCCCUCUCACAUGUGGGCCCAGGCGCCCAGUUCUAAGGUUGGUUUUGGGUCUUAGCAUUCAUCAUGCACGUGCUUAGGUGAUGCUUCCCUUUUCCAGUAGGGUGCCUGUUCCCACAGCUGUUCUGUCAUCCUGCAUUCACCAGUUCUGGUCUUCUGCAGCAGUAGUUACUCAAUGCCAUGUGAGAAAGGAAUGAGAGCUCUAUCUCCCUUUCUCAGUUUUUUAUUUUUUAAUUUUUAAUUUUGGAAUAAUUUUAGGUUUACAAAAAAGUUGCAAAGACAGUACAGAGGUCCUGCAUACUCUUCCCCAAGCCUCCUCUAAUGUUAACAUCUACCAUAAUCGAGUUGCAUUUACCAAAACAAAGAAAUUAACAUGAGUACCAUAACUGUUAACCAAAUCACAGACAUUUCUUUGGAUUUCAACAGUUUUUCUGCUUAUGCCCUUUUUCUGUUUCAUGAUAUCACACUGCAUUCAGUCAUCAUGUUCCCUUCAUCACCAAUCUGUGGCAGUUUUUUUGGUCUUUGCUGACUUGACUUCCAUGACCUUGACUGUUUUGAAGGAUACUGGUUAGGUAUUUUGUAGGCUGUCCCUCGGUUGGGUUUGCCCGAUGUUCGGGUUUGACAUCAUUACACUGGGAAUAUGGAGUUUCGGGAAGAAUUCCACAGAGAUGAACUGUCCUUUUCUUGGCAUCAUGUCAGGGGUUGGUAAUAUCAACCUGACUUAUGACUGGUGAUGUUAGCCUUGAGCAUCUGGCCCAGGUGGUGUCUGCGGUUUCCCUAGUUACUCUUUUCUUCCUUUCCCCUGUUCUUUAGGAGAGAGUCAUUAAGUCCAGCCCACACUCAUGGAAUGAGAAUGUAUUUUAAACCUGCAUUCUAUCAACCCUGAUUAAUAUUCCUUUUUACCCCCACUUCCAAAAGUCCACUUAGUCCCUGAACCUUUGGAAGAUUCUGUGACACAUCAGUUUAGUUCUUGGCUUUCCCCGCUAUAUCCUGAGUCACUUUUCUGUGUUCCAGCUUCCAGCAUUUUGUUGCUAAUGUCUCCUCUUCCCUUCUCUCUGUAUUUAUAGGUAUAUGGGUUUUUUAAGAAAUCUCUUUACUGUAGUUUUAGUGGAGUUUCAGAGGAAGUGAAAUUGAAUUAUUAUGUUCAAUCUGCCAUCCAUACCUGGAAGCCUUGGGGAAAACAUUUUUUAAUCAUCAAAAUUGACAUUUAAUCUGUUUGAAUUUGCAGUUUCUGUGUGUCAUAAUUCUACCAUUGAUACAAUCCUUGGAAUCAUUGAAUUUUUUUUUGUAUAUCGUUGUUUUAUUUCAUGAAACAUUAGGAUCAGUCAAGAAAUCACUUAACAGCUAGAGAAGUAAGGCUUCUAGUGUUGGUUGGUGUGAUUGGCCUUGAUUAUCAAAGCCAAAUUAGGAUUAAGUUUAACAAGAAAGGUAGGCUGGACACUUCAGGAAUCGAAGUUUGGGUCAGUCGAACGGGCAAGGGACCUUAACUGAUUUUUGCUAGCCAAAGGCAGCAAACUGGUAUGGAUAGAAGAGAGAAGUUAAAAUAUCCGCUAUGGCGUCUUGACCAGUUGCAUAAAUGAAAAUUCUAGCCCUCUGUAUAUUUGUUCGCUCUCUGUCCCAUUGUCUUUCACCUUUCUUUUUUUAAAAAAAGACGUUUUUAGAGCAAUUUUAGGUGUACUUUAGAAUUGUGAAGAAGGUACAGAGAUUUCCCAUAUACUCUCUGUCUCCACACAUUCAUAUCCUGCCCUGUUAUCAACAUCACUCACCAGAAUGGUACCUUUUUUUUACAAAGGAUGAACACAUCAGAAUCACCCAAAGUCCAUAGUUUACCUCAGGGUUUACUCUUGGGGUUGUACAUUCUGUGUGUUUGGGCAAAUGUGUAAUGGCAUGUAUCCAUCACUGUAACAGCAUACCGGGUAUUUUCACUGCCCUAGAAAUCAUCUGUGCGCCACCUACUCAUCCCUUUCCACUGACCUUUGACAACCAUUGAUCUUGUUACGGUAUCCAUAAUUUUUCCUUUCCCAGAAUGUCACAGAACUGGAAUCAUAGAGUAUGUAGCCUUUUCUAAUCUUUCAUUCCUACAACUUUAUAUAAAGUGUUUUAAUAUUGGGUAUGUUUGUUAUUUAGUGAUGAAGUUGCAUUUUAUAUUUUUAUACAUUUUUAUUAUUUUCAUUACUUUUUCAGUAGGUAGUGGUCUAUGUGGCUCAAAAAACAAACAAUAUGAAGAGUAUCACCCUCCCGUUUCUGUCUACCUUGUUCUCUCUUGCCCUGACCCCUGUUAGUAACCAUUUCAAUUAGUUUCUUGUGUGUCUUUUGGUGUUUCUUUAUACAAUUAUGAACAUAUAUUCUUAUUCUUCCCCAUUUUACAUAAAAGAUAACACUCUAUUUAUAUUGUUCUGUUCUCUUUCUUUGCUGGAUAGUAUGUGUUAGUUCAUAGAGAAUUUCCCUGUUCUUUGUUACAGCUCUCAGGGAUGUUCCAGUGCUUGUAUUACCAGUUCCUUAUAGAAAAUGACUUGAGUUUGUUUCUCAGUUUUGGCUUUGCAAACAAUACUGUAAUGAAUAACCUCAUACAAACUUUCUUUUGUAGGUGUGUAGGUAUAUUUCUGUAUAAGUUCCCAGAAGUGGGAAAGUUGUAGAAUACUGACUUUAGUAUAAUAGUGUACCUAGAGUGGGAUUAGCCAUCACCUGUUUUAACAAUCAGAGACAACCAGGAAAAUAGCAACCACAUAGCUUUCAUGGCAGAAAAAAUGUAAUACAGGAUAGUGAUUACCACAUAGAGCACCUGAGAAAGUGAAGCAACCUAGAGAUUAGUAACAACAGAAGAACUACUGCUUGCAGCCCAGAGAGACAAAAGUAAGAAGGCUGUAUUACUGAAUCCCAGAGCUGGGGGGUCAUCUGUUGGAGGCUAGGACCUCUAAGGACCUGUCUAUGGAAGCUGGAGCCACUAAGGAGAUACAGUCACUGCCAGAGAAGUGCCUGAGAUAGACGAGAGAGAGAUAUCCUGGUAUGUUCUUUCCCACCCCUAGUGUCCACUCUUUCCAAAAUCAACUGAUAGUGAGUCUGGUCAUCAGAGUUAACAGAAGUCAGCCGCCUGCUGUACAGAGAACAGCAGAAGUCCAGAAAAUGGAUUUGAGGACAAAUGGGCUCAGAAUCUGUGUAGCCCAUCCAUUUUGCUACUUAGCAUUUAAAUCCAUCCUUCUACCCAUGUUUAAUAUCUUUAUGCUCUGCCUGUCAUUCAAACAAACACACUGUCCCUUCUGCCCAAACAAAAAGAGGCAUGUAAGUCUCAUUAGUCAUUGUAUCCUUCUCAAGUUCAGGAUCCACUGGUGAUCCUCACUCCUCUCCAGCAGGUGCAGAUUGAUUUUCUGUGGCCUGAUAACUUAUGAACUAACUUGUAAAUUAAGUUUCACCACCACUCCACACAAAACUGUAGAGGAAGGGGAGGGGGAAAAGUAGACAUCAUUGGUUAAUAUGUACGUAACAAAAAUAUCUCUGUUGCUGUAAAAAGUCACAAGAUCAUAGUUGGUAUUUAUCACUUCCCUCCUCUACCACUUACUCCAAAUUCCCUGUUUUCAGCUAGCACUCCACUGCCAGUGGUUAGGGUUCUUUGCUUGGCAGGGUACCUGUAUCAGUUAGGAUACAUUCAGAAUAAUGGAAAACAGAGUUGGUGUUUCAACAGAAUUUAAUAUAAGGAAUUGGUUAAGCAGUUUUGGAGAACUGAAAAAGCAAAACAGGGGAUACUGAGCUAACCCAGAGAUAAAGAAAUUAAUAUAAGUGACACAAAGGAGAUAGAAUAAACGAACUUGGUGACUGAUGACAUAUGGAAUGGGAGGACAGAACAGAAAUCCAUACAUGUGUUAAAAUUUUUACACUCAUGUGACAGUUCUGGUUUGAGUCUGAGUCGAGCUCAGACCGAUCUGAGCUUAGUGUAGUUACCAAUAGUCCCGGUUUGCCCCAGCCUUAGGGAUUUCCUGGAGCCUCAGUCUUCCUAUGCUAAAACUGGGAGAGUUGCUUGCAAACCAGGAUGAAUUGGUCACCCUAGCCUGCUAUGAGCUGGUGGAGUAGAUCAGUGACAGGAGCUUCUUGGCAUGAGCUCUGAGUCUGGUAUAAGCAGUCCUUAGGGAGUUAGCAAUCAAGAUGCCUUAAACUUGGGCCAGUAAGAGAGCCUUUAGUGAUGAAGGGAAAUGGUAAUUCUUAAUACUCCAUGGUAGCUGCCAUUCAAAUACAUCCCCUACAGUUGGGAUCCAUGGUGUGAUGUAUUUGUGGGUUCUAGGGAGAGGAGGUUGGAAAUAAAGUUUGUUUCUUACUCCAAGAGUGUAACCCAGAGGGGACAGAUUCUUUCUCACCAGACCUCCCAGCAGCUCUGGAACUUGAGGGCCUUAGUGCGUUAGUGACUUCAGUUGUAGGUAAGUUGGUGGGUUGCAAGGGAUGGGGAGGGGGAACUCGGGAACAUGUCCUGGCCCAAGGAAGAACUGAAAUGCUUGGCAAGGCAGAAUAACAUUUAUGCAGCUGGGGCAUAAAUUUAUGCAGGUGAAGUCUGAGUUAUCACAGCAAAUGUAACGUCAACAGGUCGGGGAGUGGAGAAGCUGGAGGAAAGCUGGCAACAGGCUUUUCUUGAAGCAAUUUCAGGCAGGAGGAGGGGACAGGUUGACUAGGGUUACUUUCUUUGUGAUAUUCUGCCACCUAGUGUUAAUUCUUACUACUUCGCUUGUCCCUCUGAUGGAUAAAAGAAAGCAGAUGAA